Non-coding RNA from Acanthosepion pharaonis, 114 nucleotides. Lineage: Eukaryota; Metazoa; Mollusca; Cephalopoda; Sepiida; Sepiidae. The record is from the annotation of a GenBank genome assembly.
UAUGGCCAUAUCAUGUUAAAAUGCCGGUUCUCAUAAAAUCACAGAAGUUAAGCAACAUUGAACCUGGUUAGUACUUAGAUGGGUGACGGCUUUCGAAUGCCAGGUGCUGCAAGC